Papaver somniferum (opium poppy) is the source of this 1996-nucleotide long non-coding RNA. RefSeq lists it as uncharacterized. The record is from RefSeq and is a predicted model, not a curated record. The transcript has 5 exons. NCBI's taxonomy places the organism in Eukaryota, Viridiplantae, Streptophyta, Magnoliopsida, Ranunculales, Papaveraceae.
CAAUCGUUCAUUCGAUUUAGGCUGUGUUCGCAAGAACCAGAGAUUUAGGCUGUUCGCAAGAGCAGAGAAGCUUGAUUCUCACGGAUCAAGUGUUUAUCCUGUCAUUGUACAUCCAGGUACAUGACAAUUGGUAUCAGACUCGUUCGAUCCAUGGAGGUGUUCACUGAAACCCAACCUCAACAGAUCUCUGAAAUUCCAAAUUUAUCAAAUGAAAAAUGGGUAGAAAUGAAUGGAAAAUUGGUACCGAUAAUGAAAUUGGAAAGAUUAGCAAGUGCUGAAUUCGACACUUGAUGGACAAGAACGGUCUACAUCGAGAAGAUUCCCUUCGGAGGUGGGGCAAAUCUUUAGACAGGGCGGAGAAGAAAUUGGAUCAGAUCAUGUUUCUUAAGGAUACUGGUUUAUCUCAUCAACCUCCUUGUAGAGUGAAAGUUGCUUCUACAAAUGGUGAUGAAUCUUCAGAUUUGGAGUUGAUACCUCAAAUUUUUUUUCCUGAAAACGAAGAUGUUGAGUCACUUAAUGAUGUGAGAUUCCAGUCUGAAGAAGUUGCUUAACCUGCGAUGAUAGAUUUCUCCGAGUUGAAUCAAAUCAAAAUUGGUGAAGUGAACGAUUCUGCUCUAGAAUUUUACUUCAACAAGUUUGGGGAGAAUUUCGAAAAUCAUGAAUGCUUCAAGGAGUUAUUGUCUAUUCUUUACAGCAAAUCAAAUUCUAUGGCUCGUUCUUAUUUUCCACUUAAUGACACUCGUUCAUUAUUCGACAGAGGUAAGUGUGGCCUUAUUUCAUUGAAUUAUUCUGAGAAAAUGUCUCUUGUAUGGAUUUCUCGCUUUGGGUACCAAUCAUAUUUUCGAUCUAGGCAUUUGAUUUUUAGUUUGUCUGUUGAUGAUGAUACAAUUUUUGAUGAGAGGCAGCUGUUUGUUAGAAUAUUUAAGAGAAGAUUCGCUAGAAUAGUUGAAAUUGAUGAGGCACGAGCACUGUGGGAUAUCUUGGAUGGGGGUGUAGUAUGGAGGAGUAAUGGUGCUGAUGGUAUUUUCUGGAAGCUACAACUUAGUUUACAUCAUGAUUUAAGAGACUUCAUGCCUGCAGUGCAUUACAAUUUAAUUGUUGAUGUACGUCUCUUCCUUAAUUUCUAUUCUAACUGCAGUGUGUUUGAUCGUGGUAAAGAGAUCGACCUUAUUCUAUGGGUUUCUUGUUUUUCUACACAUGAUUAGAUCGAUAGGUUUUCUGGUUACUGGUGGGAAUUUUCAGAUCUAGUUUUUGUAAUCAACGUUAAUAUUGGGAUAUAUACAUAUGUACACAGUAACGAUUUGCCUCAUCAUAUGUCCACACUGGAAAUUAUUGUGUAGAUAGUGCAGCUCCAAAGGAAAAGAUGAAUCAGCAAUGGUCUAGACGUUUCAAAGCUGCUGGAGAUGCACAAGAAGCAGCAGAAGAGGAAGAGCUGCUGCGAGUAGAUUUUGCGGAGUAGGGAAGGUAGCUUCCUCCUAAGGAAAGUUCACAAGUCUGUGAUUCAAAUAAUAUCACUCCUGGACCUGAAUUUAUGCAUGUUUUUUCAACUCAGACUAAAGAAUGAUCCUGAGUGGAGAUCAGUUAAGGUUGUCUAAUGUUCCUGGUGACAAAAUUAUGUCUUGCGUUCGCUAGCAAAACACUUGCUGGUUUCGAUCCAAAUACCCUUCCGUACCUGUAUGGUUGGGAUAAAGAUUUGAUUGCGCUGGCAUUGGCUACGUAUGAACUGCAUUUCUUUAUUGUUAGAAGAGAGGACGUUCGUGGUAAAGAAUUAACGGAAGGUGCUGAACAUAGUGUGGCCAGAAAGGUUUACGUGAGCAUAUAUGGGAAAGUCGAUAAGUGCAGAAUGAUGGAUGUAAGGAGUAGUUGGUUAUGAUAGUAGACGUUUUACUUAAAAAUGUAUAUUGCAAUUUUGGUUUUCUGACAACUUGUUUGUAGAAUGUAUCAUUUUUUAAUGUAACAACUCGUCUAAAAUUUUAAUGCAAUACGUUCUUUUAUA